RNAcentral lists this transfer RNA (71 nucleotides) under Ictidomys tridecemlineatus (thirteen-lined ground squirrel). RNAcentral's name for it is "Spermophilus tridecemlineatus (thirteen-lined ground squirrel) tRNA". It matches the Rfam family "tRNA". From Rfam's summary of the family: Transfer RNA (tRNA) molecules are approximately 80 nucleotides in length. Lineage: Eukaryota; Metazoa; Chordata; Mammalia; Rodentia; Sciuridae. The record is from Rfam by way of RNAcentral.
GGGAAUAUAGCUCAGUGGUAGAGCACUUUUGUAGUAUGUAUGAAGCAUGGGUUCAAUGCCCAAUACCACCA